GAUGAACGCUGGCGGCGUGCCUAACACAUGCAAGUCGAGCGAGAAGUAAAGAGAUGAAGCUUCGGUAGAUUUUCAUUAUGGAAAGCGGCGGACGGGUGAGUAACGCGUAGGCAACCUGCCCUGUACAGGGGGAUAGCCACCCGAAAAGGUGAUUAAUACCCCAUAAAGCAAGAGAUACACAUGUAUCACUUGUCAAAGAUUUAUCGGUAUGGGAUGGGCCUGCGUCUGAUUAGCUAGUUGGUAGGGUAACGGCUUACCAAGGCAACGAUCAGUAGCCGACCUGAGAGGGUGAUCGGCCACAUUGGAACUGAGACACGGUCCAAACUCCUACGGGAGGCAGCAGUGGGGAAUAUUGCACAAUGGGGGAAACCCUGAUGCAGCAACGCCGCGUGAAGGAAGAAGGCCUUCGGGUUGUAAACUUCUGUCCUAGGGGAAGAAACAAAUGACAUUACCCUGGAGGAAGCCCGGCUA
Molecule: ribosomal RNA, 471 nt
Filed under: [Eubacterium] infirmum
Lineage: Bacteria; Bacillati; Bacillota; Clostridia; Peptostreptococcales; Anaerovoracaceae
Description: bacterial SSU rRNA
Rfam family: Bacterial small subunit ribosomal RNA
Source: RNAcentral